This 479-nucleotide ribosomal RNA is filed under the name uncultured bacterium. RNAcentral's name for it is "bacterial SSU rRNA". It matches the Rfam family "Bacterial small subunit ribosomal RNA", at positions 29 to 507 of the family's 1533-position model. The record is from RNAcentral.
AACGAACGCUGACGGCGUGCUUAAGACAUGCAAGUCGUGCGAGAAAGUCACCUUCGGGUGGCGAGUAAAGCGGCGCACGGGUGAGUAACGCGUGGAUAAUCCACCCAAGGGUCUGGAAUAACAUCGGGAAACUGGUGCUAAUGCCGGAUAAGACCACGAUGACUUCGGUCGAUGCGGAAAAAGAUGGCCUCUUCUUGAAAGCUAUCGCCCUUUGAUGAGUCCGCGUCCCAUUAGCUUGUUGGUGGGGUAACGGCCUACCAAGGCUACGAUGGGUAGCUGGUCUGAGAGGAUGAUCAGCCACACUGGAACUGAGACACGGUCCAGACUCCUACGGGAGGUAGCAGUGGGGAAUAUUGGACAAUGGGCGAAAGCCUGAUCCAGCCAUGCCGCGUGUGUGAAGAAGGCUUUCGGGUUGUAAACUCCUUUUGUAGGGGAAGAUAAUGACGGUACCCUAUGAAUAAGCCACGGCUAACUCUGUG